This 77-nucleotide non-coding RNA is filed under the name Pelagodinium bei. Lineage: Eukaryota; Dinophyceae; Suessiales; Suessiaceae. The record is from RNAcentral.
GUGACGAGGGCAAAGGAGUGGCAAGAGCGCACCGCUGCAGGGGUCGCACUCAGAUUGCUUGGUAGACAAAACUCCAC